CCUACGGGAGGCAGCAGUGGGGAAUAUUGCGCAAUGGGCGAAAGCCUGACGCAGCGACGCCGCGUGAGGGAUGAAGGUCUUCGGAUCGUAAACCUCUGUCAGCAGGGACGAACGGUCACUGUGCUAAUCAGCAGUGAAUUGACGGUAACUGCAAAGGAAGCAACGGCUAACUCCGUACAAGCAGCCGAGGUAAUACGGAGGGGGCGAGAGUUAAUCGGAAUUACUGGGCGUAAAGCGCUCGUAUGCGGUAUGUCAAGGCAAGGGUGAAAUCCCCGCGCUCAACGUGGGAACUGCCUUUGAAACUGGCAAACUUGAGUGUGUGAGAGGAUAGUGGAAGUCCAGGUGUAGGAGUGAAAUCCGUAGAUAUCUGGAGGAACAUCAGUGGCGAAGGCGACUAUCUGGCACAUAACUGACGCUGAGGAGCGAAAGCGUGGGUAGCAAACAGGAUUAGAUACCCUGGUAGUC
This 465-nucleotide ribosomal RNA is filed under the name uncultured bacterium. RNAcentral describes it as "partial 16S ribosomal RNA". It matches the Rfam family "Bacterial small subunit ribosomal RNA", at positions 338 to 795 of the family's 1533-position model. The record is from RNAcentral.